GCUGGGAUCGUAUAGUGGUUAGUACUCUGCUUUGUGACUGCAGCAACCCCGGUUCGAAGCCGGGUCACAGGC
Molecule: transfer RNA, 72 nt
Filed under: Xiphophorus maculatus (southern platyfish)
Lineage: Eukaryota; Metazoa; Chordata; Actinopteri; Cyprinodontiformes; Poeciliidae
Rfam family: tRNA
About the family: Transfer RNA (tRNA) molecules are approximately 80 nucleotides in length. Their secondary structure includes four short double-helical elements and three loops (D, anti-codon, and T loops). Further hydrogen bonds mediate the characteristic L-shaped molecular structure. tRNAs have two regions of fundamental functional importance: the anti-codon, which is responsible for specific mRNA codon recognition, and the 3' end, to which the tRNAs corresponding amino acid is attached (by aminoacyl-tRNA synthetases). tRNAs cope with the degeneracy of the genetic code in two manners: having more than one tRNA (with a specific anti-codon) for a particular amino acid; and 'wobble' base-pairing, i.e. permitting non-standard base-pairing at the 3rd anti-codon position.
Source: Rfam by way of RNAcentral